Molecule: long non-coding RNA, 472 nt
Organism: Oncorhynchus nerka (sockeye salmon)
Lineage: Eukaryota; Metazoa; Chordata; Actinopteri; Salmoniformes; Salmonidae
Exons: 3
Source: RefSeq, a predicted model, not a curated record
AGAGGUUCUACUCCCUGCUGGACAGGUUCCGAACCACCGUUGCCGAGGACACCAGCAGCCCCUCCCCUCCUGUGACAUCACACCCCCUAGAUGGGGAACCGCCACCUGCCCCUGAACUAGUCAAGGCUGACAAGGAGUGGUAUGUUGCCUUGGUGAUGUCCCAGUGCUGUCUCCGUGGUGACGGGUCGUUCCUGGAGACAACGGAACUCCUGACCAAACUACCUCCUGACGACCUCUCUACCAUCAUGACCUGCAAGGACUUCAACCUGUCUCUCCUCUGUCCGUGUCUGAGUCUGGGGGUUCAGAGGUUAACCCGGGGUCAGGGGUCGUUGCUGUGGAGACGGCCCUGGCCGUGACCCUGGAUCAUCUGAGCGGGGUCACACAACUACUUCCUGUUCCACACCGUUCCUUCCUGCCGCCGGCCAAACCUGACCCGGCCGAACCCUACUGGGACAACUUGGCUAUCGUCUAU